UGAAGAGAAAAAAAAGAGAUAGGAGUAUGGUCGAGCGCACGAAUUGCGGGAUUGACUAGCGACUCUUUCGCCCCUCAGGCCCUCACACCCAGCGUCUUCCUCCUAGGGUUAGGAAAAACGUGGCCGCCGCCGCCCUCCCCCACUUCGCUCGAGGUCGCCCCUCUCCAUGUCCCCUCCUGAGCUCCACCUCCUCCAGCCCCCGCCUGGGCUCUGCUCCUUCUUCCUUGUUGGCGCUCAACCGGACGAGGCUGAACUGCCACAAACUGCGGCAGAGGGACACGUCGAUGAGGAUGGCAAGUCGAGCUGGAGGGGAUCGGGAGGCGUGAGGCGUGGAUACGGGUGGAGCGCUGAAGAAGGGUUGUGUGGGGCAACCGGCCCGUCUUAUUUUGUGGAGUGGCCAUUAUCAUCGCCAAGCUACUCAACUCGUCGAACCCGAUGUCGCCAUGUUCGGGAAGAAGGAUUGUCAGCAGUGGCGUCUCCUCUGCCGAAUGAUAACUAACAGAUUUGACAGAAAGGCAUACUGAUUUAAUUGUUGUGUGCCAUUGCAUCGGUGAAAAGGCAUUCUGCAGUGCCGAGUGCCGGGACCAAGAGAUCAUGAUCGAAGAGGAAGCGAAGCGCAAGAUCGUCAUCAGAUGCCCGUCCUGCUCAACCCUGCAUGGGUGGAUGGAACGGACAAUAGCGGAGGACAUGGACAUUGCUCGUCCUGAACAACGUCGAGUGCCAAUGCGAACUACCAGAGUCAUAUGAGGCUUACCGAAAGUGGCAACAUCGGUGGCAUUCCGGUCCAAUGCAGAUGUUCAAGCUUUGCAUAUCCAACAUCAUCAAGCCCAAGGCAUUGCUAUGCUCUUUUUGUUGUAAUAUCUAAACAGAAUGUACUACAAAAUAGAUAAUCUGACGAAGAUGUGGCACGUGAGAUGUUCUCCAAUAAUGUUAACUUGUUGUCAAAAACUCUAAAAUGGUACUGCUUUUUGAACCGAGUGUCAAACCCAAUUGAGUCAAGUCUCCCUUGCAGUACGGUAUUUUGUGGCGCUUGCUUAGGUUACACUUUGAAAAUCAUUUGCCUUCUGUA
Molecule: long non-coding RNA, 1069 nt
Organism: Triticum urartu
Lineage: Eukaryota; Viridiplantae; Streptophyta; Magnoliopsida; Poales; Poaceae
Source: RefSeq, a predicted model, not a curated record